GAGCCAUUAGCUCAGUUGGUAGAGCAUCUGACUUUUAAUCAGAGGGUCGAAGGUUCGAGUGCUUCAUGGCUCACCA
This 76-nucleotide transfer RNA is filed under the name Bacillus pseudomycoides. RNAcentral's name for it is "tRNA-Lys". It matches the Rfam family "tRNA". From Rfam's summary of the family: Transfer RNA (tRNA) molecules are approximately 80 nucleotides in length. Their secondary structure includes four short double-helical elements and three loops (D, anti-codon, and T loops). The record is from RNAcentral. Lineage: Bacteria; Bacillati; Bacillota; Bacilli; Caryophanales; Bacillaceae.